Gracilinanus agilis (Agile Gracile Mouse Opossum) is the source of this 165-nucleotide non-coding RNA. RefSeq annotates it as small Cajal body-specific RNA 16. NCBI's taxonomy places the organism in Eukaryota, Metazoa, Chordata, Mammalia, Didelphimorphia, Didelphidae. The transcript has a single exon. The record is from RefSeq and is a predicted model, not a curated record.
AUGGUCUGAAAAAAGGCUACUGUGUGGUUGAACCCAGAAACCUGGGUGCAUCCCUGUACCAGUCAGCCUGAUUUUGACCUAGAGUAAAUUCCCAGGAAUUUUGCAGUAACAGGUGUGAGCAUUCUAGCAGCAAUUUGAUGAUCAUGUAUAAUACUGCAAACAAUA